CUAAGGAUGGUUCUUCAGAAGCUUGCUUCUAUCGAACCGUUUUAGAAACAUCAGUGGCCAACGGUCGUCAGGAUCGUUGAGCUGCAUUGGCGGGAUUUCGCCGUCUUCGUUUCUCUUUCUUCGCGGACGAACACGCGCUGGGGCUGCAACCUUGCAGAAUCCCCGGUCCUUGACUGGAUAUGCGUUAGGGGCUUGUAGCUCAGUUGGUUAGAGCGCGCGCUUGAUAAGCGUGAGGUCGGAAGUUCAAGUCUUCCCAGGCCCACCACACUCAUCGAGUGAGCAUUCGUCUUCUGGUUACGGGGCCAUAGCUCAGCUGGGAGAGCGCGUGCUUUGCAAGCAUGAGGUCGUCGGUUCGAUCCCGUCUGGCUCCACCAGAUGGUUUGAUCACCGACUACUCAUACCGUCGUCCGCGAAACAUCACUUCGCACUUACUAGUCCGGAUGGACAGUAAGCUGCGUGAUUUCUGACAUCGUAAAGAGGAGAUCGAUCCGAGUUGGAUCGGGCAACAAGCAAUUGUUGCGCGAUACUUCAUUAUCUCCGGAUCAUUUCGGCGCUCGUGCGUCUUCCAGGGUAGCUCACAAGGCUGCAUCUGAAGACAAGCGAGUUGUAAAUGAUCCUUUUAGCGAAGCUUGACCGCCUCGCUAUCGGAACGAUCUUACGAAGCAAGCUGGUCUUUCUAAUCAUUGUCCGGCUGCAGAUAGCGUUCAUCGAGGGCGCGUGCCUUAGAGACUUAGGUUUCUUGGUAAUUCUGCAGACAACAUUCUGCCGAGUGUGUGGACAUUGAUAAUGAGAGC
This 794-nucleotide transfer RNA is filed under the name Bradyrhizobium canariense. RNAcentral describes it as "16S-23S intergenic spacer". The stretch from base 189 to 262 matches the Rfam family "tRNA". The record is from RNAcentral. Lineage: Bacteria; Pseudomonadati; Pseudomonadota; Alphaproteobacteria; Hyphomicrobiales; Nitrobacteraceae.